UAGCUAGUUGGUGAGGUAAAGGCUUACCAAGGCGACGAUCUGUAGCGGGUCUGAGAGGAUGAUCCGCCACACUGGAACUGAGACACGGUCCAGACUCCUACGGGAGGCAGCAGUGGGGAAUUUUGGACAAUGGGGGCAACCCUGAUCCAGCCAUGCCGCGUGAGUGAAGAAGGCCUUCGGGUUGUAAAGCUCUUUCGGCCGGGAAGAAAUCGCAUGGGCCAAUACCCUGUGUGGAUGACGGUACCGGAAUAAGAAGCACCGGCUAACUACGUGCCAGCAGCCGCGGUAAUACGUAGGGUGCGAGCGUUAAUCGGAAUUACUGGGCGUAAAGCGUGCGCAGGCGGUUUUGUAAGACAGGCGUGAAAUCCCCGGGCUUAACCUGGGAACUGCGUUUGUGACUGCAAGGCUAGAGUACGGCAGAGGGGGGUGGAAUUCCACGUGUAGCAGUGAAAUGCGUAGAGAUGUGGAGGAACACCAAUGGCGAAGGCAGCCCCCUGGGUCGAUACUGACGCUCAUGCACGAAAGCGUGGGUAGCAAACAGGAUUAGAUACCCUGGUAGUCCACGCCCUAAACUAUGUCAACUAGGUGUUGGGUGGGUAAAACCAUUUAGUACCGUAGCUAACGCGUGAAGUUGACCGCCUGGGGAGUACGGCCGCAAGGUUAAAACUCAAAGGAAUUGACGGGGACCCGCACAAGCGGUGGAUGAUGUGGAUUAAUUCGAUGCAACGCGAAAAACCUUACCUACCCUUGACAUGCCAGGAACUUGCCAGAGAUGGCUUGGUGCCCGAAAGGGAGCCUGGACACAGGUGCUGCAUGGCUGUCGUCAGCUCGUGUCGUGAGAUGUUGGGUUAAGUCCCGCAACGAGCGCAACCCUUGUCGUUAAUUGCCAUCAUUUAGUUGGGCACUUUAACGAGACUGCCGGUGACAAACCGGAGGAAGGUGGGGAUGACGUCAAGUCCUCAUGGCCCUUAUGGGUAGGGCUUCACACGUCAUACAAUGGUCGGUACAAAGGGUUGCCAAGCCGCGAGGCGGAGCCAAUCCCAGAAAGCCGAUCGUAGUCCGGAUUGCAGGCUGCAACUCGCCUGCAUGAAGUCGGAAUCGCUAGUAAUCGUGGAUCAGCAUGUCACGGUGAAUACGUUCCCGGGUCUUGUACACACCGCCCGUCACACCAUGGGAGCGGGUUCCGCCAGAAGUAGGUAGCCUACCGCAAGGGGGGCGCUUACCACGGCGGGGUUCGUGACUGGGGUGAAGUCGUAACAAGGUAGCCGUAGGGGAACCUGCGGCUG
This 1286-nucleotide ribosomal RNA is filed under the name metagenome. RNAcentral's name for it is "bacterial SSU rRNA". It matches the Rfam family "Bacterial small subunit ribosomal RNA", at positions 242 to 1520 of the family's 1533-position model. The record is from RNAcentral.